This 2920-nucleotide long non-coding RNA is filed under the name Venturia canescens. RNAcentral's name for it is "uncharacterized LOC122405841". The record is from RNAcentral. Lineage: Eukaryota; Metazoa; Arthropoda; Insecta; Hymenoptera; Ichneumonidae.
UGUAGUGCUUUCCAAUUGGAGUACAGUGCGGCAUGUUGUGUCUCCCGAACGUGCUGUACGCCAGGGAUACCAAAAUUUCGAGUCAAGUUUUUUUUUCUGAAAGCGGCAUCAUUGAGUUCUUUCGUUGUUUUCAAAUUUUCCUCGCAGAAUAGAAAAACACAAUACCAGGUACAACCGUGCGAGUGAAAACGAGAUGAACAGUAAUACAAUGCAAGAGUGAGUCCUUUCAAUCGAAUAUCGUCAUAACGAAUCUAGAUAUUUACAAAUGAAGGAUUCGUCAUGGAGCCAAAGUACAAAAGAUGUCAGUGGAUCAAGUUCGGUGGAAAUUCAAUUGCCUCCGUCAAAAAUACAAGGAAUAAACAAGACAACCGAUUUCGGUCGUUCUUGUAGUCGUUUCGACCAAAAUCCUGGUCGUACAAUCUGCUAGAGCGAUAACAAAAAGAGCGGUUGAGCACAUAUGACUUUUGAUUUUUAUAAUGAAAAUGGACGAAGUUUGCAACGUAGGCAGAAGUGGUAUUGAUCUAGACCCCUUCGUGAAACAGGAUCAAUUAGGGUAAAAACAAACGUUGAUUUGGCAAAUUAUUACCUCGAGCAUUUAAAAACAACAGAAGAACAACAAAAAUCUCGGGAUGAAAAAAUUGACUAUAUGAAGAUUCGAGCAGAUUCUCUGUUGUUAAAAAAAAUGAGAAUUGAAAUUUCGUGAGAAAGAGAAAGAGAAAAGGCAAUAACGAAUAAAAUGCUCAAAUUGAAGGACUCAAACGAAGAACCAAUGAAAAUUGAGAAACAAAAGUGUUAUUUACUACAGAAACUGCUAAAUAGAGAAAAUUUCGAUUCUGAUUGAGCCAAGUUAAAUAUCUUUGUACCAAUAGUACAAACACAAAAUGAUGUUAUGCCACAGGCCUUAUUCAAUCCGAAAAUGAGUAUUAUAGUUUUCUUGAACUUUAAAUAUUGCAAUAAGUUGUGAAGGAACCAAAUAUUAAUGUAAGUAAAAAUUUAUUAUUCUGUUGAAAUAAUAAUGGAAUAUGCCAGUUUCAAAACUGUUUAAUAAUAAGUAUAACAGAUAACAAUUGUGUAUUGAAUUAAUGAAGCAUUCAUUGUAUUUGGUAUCAAAAUUACAUUUCCAUUUAUAUAUCUAUUUAUAUAGAUUCAUUUAUAUAAUAAUAUGUACUUCAUGUACUAAUGUGUACUCAAGAUAAUCAUCUUGCAUGUGUAAAUUUGCGUUUUUGGGAUCAUUUGGUAGUUCUCCAUGAAAGAUAUCACUCGCAUCAAUACAGUAAUUAUGUAAAAUGCAUGCUGCGACAACAAUUUUGUUGAUAAUUGAUAUAUUUCUGUAUUCAAUGAAAAAUUUGAUUUGACGAAAUCUUCCCUUCAACAUACCAACUGUCUUUUCAAUCAUCAUUCGAGUAAAUGAAUUCAAAAAGUUGAAUUCUUUUUCUCGCGAAGUUAAAUGCCCAUUAUUCCGAAAUAAUGGAACAAGCUAUGACAAUGAUGGGUAUGCUGAAUCCCCGAUUAAAAAAGUACUGUGUGGAAAAAAAGUUGUCUACAUCAUCAGUAAUCUCUUCAUAUAAUGAAGGAACUCGAGCGUCGUGCAAAGAACCCGGUUCACUACAAUACACAUUUGUAAACCCUAUAUUUGAAUCGGCCACAGCUUGUAGGAUGACUACAAUAAGAUAUUGAGUUCAUUGAAGGCUUCUCGAUGUGUAUGUGGGUACAAUCGUAAAAUUGAUUGCACCAACAACGUUUGAAAUUGAUUUCUUAUUAUAGAAGCCAUUACUUAUUGCCGUAAAUUCAUGACGAGUUUGCGACCAUCUGAUAUAGCAGUAUUAAAUUUUAUUAAAAUCCAGGUAAGUUCUCGUCAAAUUAUGCGAAAUUUCGAAGCGGUCAACAAUCGUUCGCAAUGGUUCAGUAUUAGCCAUGAACCACAGAAAUAAUAGAAAACAGACUUUUCCGCUGAUUGACUUAAUCUCAAAUGUAUUGUGGGAAAUAAAUGCUGAUCUUUCGAUUUCAUCUGCAAAAAUAAAAUAUGCAGUGAUUAUUAUAUUGGUAUUAUUUGAUGUAUUGUCAUUUUUCAUCAAUUAGUUUCUAUAACAAUAGAUAUAUAUACAAUGUAGUUUAAAAAAUAGCGAUUGUGAGAUUAUUACCAAUCAAUUGAUUUGCUGUAGCACGUUGUAAUCGGAAGAACUCUUUGAACUGCAAAUCUGGCCAAGAUUAUAAAAUUUUGAGAUAGCUCUCGACACGAUCGCCUACAUCCUGUAGUUAAAUAUUGAAGUAGUGAAAAAUAUAAUGUGUCGUUGUUGUCGUCAAUCUCGAAUACCCAGCUGCCAUUUGAUGAUGUGAAAUUCGAGGCACUUGGAGAAUCUCUAUUAUUAGAGGUAAAAAUCUCACUGCUUGGUUGUAAAGUAUCCAUUAAAAAGAAUUUUACUCAGCGAUUAGAUAUCUAUAGAAUUACAAAAUAUGUAUAAGCACUAUUGCUCAGUUAACCAUUCACCAUUUUUCACCAUUUUGAAUUUUGGAAAUCUGAUGUCAAAUUCGUAAUCAGCGACCCCAAAAACCAUGGGGUACCAAAUUUCAAUCGAAUCGGUGUAGUAGAAAUAUGUUUUUUUUUUCAAAUGCCCCCAUAUGUGUCAUGACACAAAAAUGGCACGACUUUUUUUGCCCCUAUGUGUGUCACUCACAGUGAAGGGGUUAAAGUUGGGAAGGAAACGAGCAUAAUUGUGCCUCACAGUACCGUUUAAUUGGAAAGCACACCUAGAGUUCAGUGCAGUGACAUAUCGCGCAAUGCCAUCUGGCAUUGCGCGGCGUUUCUUUCAUGGUCCACCAAUUUCUAGCGUUGAAAAUAUAACCGCAUAAAUGCCUACUUUUGGAAAAACCGCAUUAUUGUGUUCUUUUUUCAAAUACAUCAUUCAGGAAAAUACGGAAA